UGCCAGCCGCCGCGGUAAUACGGAGGGUGCAAGCGUUGUUCGGAAUUAUUGGGCGUAAAGCGUCCGUAGGCGGUUUUUUAAGUCUGUGGUUAAAUCCCAGGGCUCAACUGUGGAACUGCCUUUGAUACUGGUUGUCUUGAGUUUAGUGGAAGAUAGUGGAAUUGCUAAUGGAAGGGUAAAAUUUUUAGAUAUUAGUAGGAAUAUCACAAGCGUAGGCAGCUAUCUUAAUUAAUACUGACGCUGAGGUACGAAAGUUUGGGUAGCAAACAGGAUUAGAUA
Molecule: ribosomal RNA, 279 nt
Filed under: uncultured bacterium
Lineage: Bacteria
Description: partial 16S ribosomal RNA
Rfam family: Bacterial small subunit ribosomal RNA
Source: RNAcentral